CCUACGGGUGGCAGCAGUGAGGAAUAUUGGUCAAUGGCCGUAAGGCUGAACCAGCCAAGUAGCGUGAGGGAAGACUGCCCUAUGGGUUGUAAACCUCUUUUAUGCGGGGAUAAAGUUGUCCACGUGUGGCUGUUUGCAGGUACCGUAUGAAUAAGGAACGGCUAAUUCCGUGCCAGCAGCCGCGGUAAUAAGGAAGGUCCGGGCGUUAUCCGGAUUUAUUGGGUUUAAAGGGAGCGUAGGCCGGUCUUUAAGCGUGCCGUGAAAUUUUGUGGCUCAACCAUGAAAGUGCGGUGGGAACUGGAGGCCUUGAGUGCGCGGGAGGCAGGCGGAAUGCGUGGUGUAGCGGUGAAAUGCUUAGAUAUCACGAAGAACCCCGAUUGCGAAGGCAGCCUACCGAAGCAUAACUGACGCUGAAGCACGAAAGCGCGGGUAUCGAACAGGAUUAGAUACCCGGGUAGUC
RNAcentral lists this ribosomal RNA (460 nucleotides) under uncultured bacterium. Its description in RNAcentral is "partial 16S ribosomal RNA". It matches the Rfam family "Bacterial small subunit ribosomal RNA", at positions 338 to 795 of the family's 1533-position model. The record is from RNAcentral.